CGGAAUCAUUGGGCGUAAAGCGCACGUAGGCGGUCUGUUAUGUCGGAUGUGAAAGCCCUUGGCUCAACUGAGGAAGUGCAUCCGAAACUGGCAGGCUAGAGUACUAAAGAGGAUCGCGGAAUUCCCGGUGUAGAGGUGAAAUUCGUAGAUAUCGGGAGGAACACCGGUGGCGAAGGCGGCGAUCUGGGUAGAUACUGACGCUGAGGUGCGAAAGCGUGGGGAGCAAACAGG
This 231-nucleotide ribosomal RNA is filed under the name uncultured bacterium. RNAcentral describes it as "partial 16S ribosomal RNA". It matches the Rfam family "Bacterial small subunit ribosomal RNA", at positions 546 to 776 of the family's 1533-position model. The record is from RNAcentral.